RNAcentral lists this transfer-messenger RNA (398 nucleotides) under Pseudomonadota bacterium. It matches the Rfam family "transfer-messenger RNA". Rfam says of the family: Bacterial tmRNA, also known as 10Sa RNA or SsrA, is named for its dual tRNA and mRNA-like properties. Its role is to liberate the mRNA from a stalled ribosome. Lineage: Bacteria; Pseudomonadati; Pseudomonadota. The record is from RNAcentral.
GGGGGCGACCUGGUUUCGACGUGAGCAUCGAAGCAGCGCAGGGCAUGCCGAGGACCAGAUCACCUCGUAAAUCCAUUCUGGAAACACUACAAACGCCAACGACGAGCGUUUUGCUCUAGCAGCCUAAUACCUGCUGGACGCUGCACUGGCUUGCUGAUGGGCCAGGCCCGAAGGUAAGUGAGGCGCAAGCCGAGCUUGCUCGAAGGUGCAGCGUCAUUCACAUCAGCCUCUCUUCCGGGCUUGGCCGCUUCGCCCGGGGGAUCCGUCGAAGCGGCUAGCCGAGCGUCAGCCUGCCGGUUGGCGGGCGCAAGGCGAAGGCACUAAAUGACCAGGCUAAGCAUGUAGUCCUGACUGUCUAGGGCUUACGGACGCGGGUUCGAUUCCCGCCGCCUCCACCA